This is a non-coding RNA of Salmo salar (Atlantic salmon), 1108 nucleotides long. The record is from RefSeq and is a predicted model, not a curated record. Lineage: Eukaryota; Metazoa; Chordata; Actinopteri; Salmoniformes; Salmonidae.
GAUUCUCUCUGAAGUAUGAACACCAUGCUUACCAUUCAUACUAGUCUAGAGUCUAGAAUAGAAUAGAAUCCAUUUUGGUAAUCCCCAAAUUACAAUAACCAGAGAGGAUUUAUCCGGAGCCAAUGGAUGGAGAAGCCAACAGACAAUAGGAGGAUUAAGGAAGGUGUCGUAGCCGGAGCUGUUGGUGAGGCCGUUGAAAGUGAUGAGGUUACUGGACUCUACCAUCUCUGAAACACACACAGAGGACAGAGCAUGGCCAACGUGUGGGUGUGAACAGAAAGGUUUCAGUCGACAGGCAUCAAGAGAGCCAUCCAACACCUGUGGACCCCUCUACCUCUGAGACGCACACAUGUACACACACUCAUACGUAUGAGCAUACACAAGAGCACACACACACACACACACACUGCGCACAAACACGCACACACACUGCUCACAAACACACUGCGCACAAACACACACACACUCACACACACUGAGCACAAACAUGCACACACAGACACACACACACACACACACACACACUCAUCAUCACAUUCAGCCAGGUGUGUAAUUAUCUGUGUCUGUGUCAGAUCUGACACAUCCCAUCCCGUCUGAAUGCACACAUGCCACUUUCAGUCUGAAGAGGAAAUCAGCAGAGAGAUGGUGUUGAGUCGUCACACACACCAAGCUGCAGCAAGAACGUUAAAGACAGACAGAGCGACAGACAGGCAGCUACUGAUGUGCUUUGACAGCAUCAUGGCGACCUGUCAGAAAAACGAGUGGGGGAGAUCAGAGAAGACCGGUAUUGUUGUUGUAGUCAACUGACAGAUGGCUCAAUCUUGGGAACCGUUUGAAUGAAGCAAAAUGCAUUUUCCCAUGAUGCCUCUGGGCUGUUCCUGGUGUAGAUUGUUACCUCGGGAGGAUGUGACGCGGUGGCGGCGCAGGUGGAGCUGAGUUUUACGGCGGUUUUUACAGCACACUACUUGACCCUUGACUGCACAGAGAAACAUCUUCAACAUAGUGCCCCCUAGAGACAGACCAGGGUCUUACAGUACAUACCACAAAUAAGUGCAUGUAUACUUAUACAUCCUGUAUAGCCAUAUAAUGGUAGCCCAGUGGUUAAGAG